UCGAACGAUGAAGCCCUUCGGGGUGGAUUAGUGGCGAACGGGUGAGUAACACGUGGGCAAUCUGCCCUGCACUCUGGGACAAGCCCUGGAAACGGGGUCUAAUACCGGAUACGAGCCUCCCGGGCAUCUGGGAGGUUGGAAAGCUCCGGCGGUGCAGGAUGAGCCCGCGGCCUAUCAGCUUGUUGGUGAGGUAACGGCUCACCAAGGCGACGACGGGUAGCCGGCCUGAGAGGGCGACCGGCCACACUGGGACUGAGACACGGCCCAGACUCCUACGGGAGGCAGCAGUGGGGAAUAUUGCACAAUGGGCGAAAGCCUGAUGCAGCGACGCCGCGUGAGGGAUGACGGCCUUCGGGUUGUAAACCUCUUUCAGCAGGGAAGAAGCGAAAGUGACGGUACCUGCAGAAGAAGCGCCGGCUAACUACGUGCCAGCAGCCGCGGUAAUUCAA
Molecule: ribosomal RNA, 449 nt
Filed under: Streptomyces sp. EXM-4-5
Lineage: Bacteria; Bacillati; Actinomycetota; Actinomycetes; Kitasatosporales; Streptomycetaceae
Description: bacterial SSU rRNA
Rfam family: Bacterial small subunit ribosomal RNA
Source: RNAcentral